Molecule: long non-coding RNA, 239 nt
Organism: Carassius auratus (goldfish)
Lineage: Eukaryota; Metazoa; Chordata; Actinopteri; Cypriniformes; Cyprinidae
Exons: 3
Source: RefSeq, a predicted model, not a curated record
GGGGUAUAAAGCAUCUAUGCUUCUUCCAUUCCAUCAGACCAUUAACAGAUCUGAACAAAAACAUGUGACAUUUCGACAGACAAAUACAGCUGAAAUCAGACAGUUCCACUUAUCUGAUGUUAUGGAUUUGCAGUCUAUGGAGACAGUUGUUGAGUCGCUAAAUGAGGGAAUAGUCUCUAUCUGUAACAUCUACAAGUCUCUCUUGGAUGCACAAGUUGAUCCCACCACUGGCAUGUGCU